AUGAGUUUCUUGCUUCUCUCAAGAGCAAGUGGUGCGGAUGGGACUCUCUCCCGCCCAGUUUCCUGCCUCUGGUCAAAGGGCAGGUGGCGAGCCUGAGU
Molecule: non-coding RNA, 98 nt
Filed under: unclassified sequences
Description: wcaG RNA
Rfam family: wcaG RNA
Source: RNAcentral